GCCCAAUUAGCCCCUACUUGGGUUAUAAGAUUAACACCUAAUCUUAACCCUAAUUAACAUGCUAACUACGAAUUUAAAGACAUUUCCUAAGCUAUUACAAAGUCCGCAAGUCAAGACUUCUUCCGGCGAACUUCCGGCGGUCUUCCGAUAAACUCUCGGAAACCAUUCUACGGACUCCCGGCAAGCUCCUAGACUUCACGAUUUG
RNAcentral lists this long non-coding RNA (205 nucleotides) under Musa acuminata (dwarf banana). RNAcentral describes it as "long non-coding RNA (MACU_LNC009501)". The record is from RNAcentral. Lineage: Eukaryota; Viridiplantae; Streptophyta; Magnoliopsida; Zingiberales; Musaceae.